RNAcentral lists this ribosomal RNA (468 nucleotides) under uncultured bacterium. RNAcentral describes it as "partial 16S ribosomal RNA". It matches the Rfam family "Bacterial small subunit ribosomal RNA", at positions 28 to 507 of the family's 1533-position model. The record is from RNAcentral.
GACGAACGCUGGCGGCGUGCUUAACACAUGUAAGUCGAACGGAAAGGCCCUGCUUUUGUGGGGUGCUCGAGUGGCGAACGGGUGAGUAACACGUGAGUAACCUGCCCUUGACUUUGGGAUAACUUCAGGAAGCUGGGGCUAAUCCCGGAUAGGAGCUCCUGCUGCUUGGUGGGGGUUGGAAAGUUUCGGCGGUUGGGGAUGGACUCGCGGAUUAUCAGCUUGUUGGUGGGGUGGUGGCUUAGCAAGGCUUUGACGGGUAGCCGGCCUGGGCGGGUAAGCGGCCACACUGGGACUGAGAUACGACCCGGACCAGUAUGCGACGGAGCGGAGGGGAAGAUAGCACAAGGGGCGGAAGCAUGAUGCAACAACGCCGCGCGCGGUAUGACGGGCUUCGGUUUGUAAACCGCUGUCGCCUUAGACGAAGCGUUAGUGACGGUAACGGGUAAAUAAGCACCGGCUAACUACGUG